GCCCCUGUAGUUCAGUGGAUAGAACAAGUCACUCCUAACGACUAAACGGAAGUUCGACUCUUCCCGGGGGCA
Molecule: transfer RNA, 72 nt
Filed under: Parcubacteria group bacterium
Lineage: Bacteria
Also listed under: 1 other name
Description: tRNA-Arg
Rfam family: tRNA
About the family: Transfer RNA (tRNA) molecules are approximately 80 nucleotides in length. Their secondary structure includes four short double-helical elements and three loops (D, anti-codon, and T loops). Further hydrogen bonds mediate the characteristic L-shaped molecular structure. tRNAs have two regions of fundamental functional importance: the anti-codon, which is responsible for specific mRNA codon recognition, and the 3' end, to which the tRNAs corresponding amino acid is attached (by aminoacyl-tRNA synthetases). tRNAs cope with the degeneracy of the genetic code in two manners: having more than one tRNA (with a specific anti-codon) for a particular amino acid; and 'wobble' base-pairing, i.e. permitting non-standard base-pairing at the 3rd anti-codon position.
Source: RNAcentral